GAUGAAGAACGUAGCGAAAUGCGAUACGUAAUGUGAAUUGCAGAAUUCAGUGAAUCAUCGAAUCUUUGAACGCAUAUUGCGCUCUUUGGUAUUCCGAAGAGCAUGCUUGUUUGAGUAUCAGUAAACACCUCAAAGACUUCAAUUUGUUUUGAAUGGCUUUGGACUUGAGCAAUCCCAACACCAGUCUUUACGAUCGGUGGAGGGUUGCUUGAAAUGCAGGUGCAGCUGGACAUUCUCCUGAGCUAAAAGCAUAUUUAUUUAGUCCCGUCAAACGGAUUAUUACUUUUGCUGCAGCUAACAUAAAGGGAGUUUGACCGUAUUGGCUGACUGAUGCAGGAUUUCACAAGGGUCGGCAACGAUUCUUGUAAAACUCGAUCUCAAAUCAAGUAAGACUACCCGCUGAACUUAAGCAUAUCAUAAGCGGAGGA
This 428-nucleotide unclassified non-coding RNA is filed under the name soil metagenome. RNAcentral describes it as "partial contains 5.8S ribosomal RNA, internal transcribed spacer 2, and large subunit ribosomal RNA". The stretch from base 1 to 120 matches the Rfam family "5.8S ribosomal RNA", at positions 35 to 154 of the family's 154-position model. The record is from RNAcentral.